Molecule: long non-coding RNA, 408 nt
Organism: Bolinopsis microptera
Lineage: Eukaryota; Metazoa; Ctenophora; Tentaculata; Lobata; Bolinopsidae
Exons: 4
Source: RefSeq, a predicted model, not a curated record
ACUGUGGUGCUUAUCGGAGUGUGCGUGGGCGUCGCCGUCAAUCUGGAUUGCUUGAAGAUUUCAUAAGGAACACAUUUGCCGAAAGGCCGUUCACUCGACUUAGACAGUUCAAAGUUCUCCCCUUCACUCCUAGGGAUCACAUAAUACAAUACGGAGAUCCGAUGACGUAUGAUAUAAUUGCUAUGGUCGGCAACCCUGGUAAUCAUUGGUAUACGGUCAUCAUUGACAACAGAAAUCGACAGGUUCUGCACUUUGACUCCCAAAAUUGCUCAACCGUAACCAUGAAAGAUCGUUGCCACUCACAUUUAAGGCUACUUAAAGACUUCCGACAAUACCAGAGAGACAAGCUACCUAUUGUUGUCAAUGGAGAUUUGAAUACUGAUGACUAUACAUUUGUUGAUGGUCAAU